Molecule: ribosomal RNA, 468 nt
Filed under: uncultured bacterium
Lineage: Bacteria
Description: partial 16S ribosomal RNA
Rfam family: Bacterial small subunit ribosomal RNA
Source: RNAcentral
GACGAACGCUGGCGGCGUGCCUAAUACAUGCAAGUCGAACGGAAAGGCCCUGCUCUUGUGGGGUGCUCGAGUGGCGAACGGGUGUGUAACACGCGAGUAACCUGUCCCUGACUUUGGGAUAAAUCCAGGAAACUGGGGCUAAUAUCGGAUAGGAGAUCUUGCUGCACGGUGGGGGUUGGAAAGAGUCGGCGGUUGGGGAUGGUCUCGCGGCUUAUCAGCGUGUUGGUGGGGUAGUGGCUUACCAAGGCUUUGACGGGUAGCCGGCCUGGGAGGGUGACCGGCCACAUUGGGACUGAGGUACGGCCCAGACUCCUACGGGAGGCAGCAGUGGGAAAUAUUGCACAAUGGGCGGCAGCCUGAUGCAGCAACGCCGCGUGCGGGAUGACGGCCUUCGGGUUGUAAACCGCUUUCGCCUGUGACGAAGCGUGAGUGACGGUAAUGGGUAAAGAAGCACCGGCUAACUACGUG